Molecule: long non-coding RNA, 1706 nt
Organism: Triticum aestivum (bread wheat)
Lineage: Eukaryota; Viridiplantae; Streptophyta; Magnoliopsida; Poales; Poaceae
Exons: 3
Source: RefSeq, a predicted model, not a curated record
AGGAGAAGGCGGACGCCGUGGGCUUGCUGCAUGGCUACAGCCGAGGCGGAGGAGAAGGUGGACGCCGUGGGCGUUCAUGGAGGAUGGUACGCCGGCCGCCUGCGCCGGCCGCCAGUCCUCUCUGGCCUCCUCCGUGGUAUCCUUCUCAACCUCCGUUGCUCCUGUCGUGAUUUGGAUGGAAAAUUGGAGGCCGGCCGUGUCCUUCUCCAACACAAAUUGAUGUAGUGCCCGACCCGGAUUUGAUUGGCUGCUAUAAGAAGCAAGGGUCCUCGGCCGGAAUCUCCAUCUGGUUUUGCCUUUCGACCAUAAUCUCCAUCAUCCCAUCGAAAUUGCAAUUUUUGACCAAACAUCCAAUGUCGCCGCCAAGUUCGCUGGAGGAAGAAGCGCCGACUUCGCCGGAGGAACAAGCGCCGAGUUCGCUGGAGGAACAAGAACGCCCGCCGAGUCCUGUGGUGGCUACACGAGAGGCCCUUAAGAUGAGUAAUGAACAUCCGUUGAGCCGUCCAAUGUUGCCUGUGGCAACUACACCAGAGGUAUGAAUCCCCUUCAUAUUAGUUUGCAUAUGUGAGCCCUGGUACAUGUAUAAUGCGUCUAUUACUGUGACACUUUUCUCCAUAUAUACCUUGUAAUACUUUGUUUUAUCUAAUAGAAGCUGGGUGUUUUCCCUUCUGUCAGGGAAAGAAAAUUUAGAAGAGCAUGAAGUACAUGCUCAUUUUCGUAUAUAUUUUAGGAUCAUUGCAUAGUGAGGAACAUUAAGGUUAUACUUAAAAGAUGAGAGCAUAUUCUUCAAGCUGAGAAGUAAACUAGAAUUGCCAAGAAUCACAAUCAUCAUAGUUAUCAGCCAUGCAAGAGAUCAAAUGCCAGGUCUAAAAGUUCAACUCAAAGAACUAAGAACAAAUAGGACUGCUUUUUUAGGUAACUGUGCAUUUUGAUGUAAUAAGCCUAGACAACGGUCUGUAUAUCAGAAAACUUGGUUUUGGAGUGAUUGAUCUCCAUGUAAUUCAAAUAUAUAGUGGCAUAAUUCGCAUUACUAUUCCUUGAUCUUCCUCCUUGCCGAAUUUAUGAUUGUCUUAUACUAUAUCUGUCGACUUCGCAACCAUCGUCUCCUUUGACUUCACCGCCAUCGUCUCCAUCGACUUCGCCGCAAGACAAUCUGUCACCGCCUCCGCCGAUUUUGCCGGAAGACCAUCAGUCGUCGCCUAGACCUACUUUGAGAAAAUAGAUGACAGCACUGUAACUUAAUAUUACAAAGAACAUUGAAGAGGACUUUGAUAACCGACCUUCAAAAAAAGAAAAAAAUUCUGAAUCAAGUGUUCUGGAGCCAUCACCUAUGUCACCAACUAUGUCAACAUGUACUCCAGUUUCUGAGUGUUUUGAAUCGAUUGUGCCAAAAUCAGAUAAUCAGAUAGAUUGUGGUCCAUUGCCAUCACCUCCAUCCCCAUCUAGCUCGACAUUAUCAAGAACAUCGGUCGAGCCGUACAAUGGUGCCUGCAGCGGUUACACCAGAGGUAUUUAUCCCCUUGAUGAAAGCUAAUCACUGGAUGUAAUCCCCUGUUUUAGUUGUUGUUUCUGUCCUGGUUAUACAGGCAGUUUUCAACAGCAGCAAACUAGCAUGCCCAGUCUGAACUUUUAGAAUGUUUUCCCAGUUCAUGUUCAACUUUGAUCCUUUUUCCAGUUAAAGUUCCAAGCAACUUUCCUGUGUGAAU